Long non-coding RNA from Piliocolobus tephrosceles (Ugandan red Colobus), 394 nucleotides. RefSeq lists it as uncharacterized. NCBI's taxonomy places the organism in Eukaryota, Metazoa, Chordata, Mammalia, Primates, Cercopithecidae. The transcript has 2 exons. The record is from RefSeq and is a predicted model, not a curated record.
GUCGAGUGAUCCACCCACCUCAGCUUCCCAGAGUGCUGGGAUUACAGGGAAUGUGGAGACGCUGGUAGCAGGGCCGGAAAGGCUCCGGGCAGAGCAGGUUUUCUGGACCACACACACACUGCCCCGGCGCCCACCGCAAGCCGCUCCUCCCCAUGCCCGUGACAGUGCCCCGCUGGUUUCCGCCGCGCUGCCGGGACUGGAGCUCAGACGGCCUUCGCCAGCUCCCCCCACGCAGUUCCCUGCUGACCUGGGCAAGUCCCCACCCUCGCUGCAGGUUCGAGGACCACCCCGCUUUCCCGAGAGGAGCCGGGCGGCGGGUACUUAUCUCCGACCUCCGGCGAGUGGGAGAGGCAGCGCGACCGCCUGUCCUCCAGCCGUGGGGACCGUAUGGUAC